CAGGCCCUGAGCUCAGCUGCACCUGUGCAAGUCGACUUCAGCCGGGUUACGCUGGGUUUACACCAAUGUGAACAAGUCCCUCUGAUCAGUAAGGUCUUCUGAGAUCAGAGUUGCAUUGUCUUUCCUGGCUUUCCUUCAUGCCAGAAUCCAUGUUAAAAUCCCUAUUUGUGAGCUGAGUGGGGAAGGGGCCUCUUGUAAGCCAGGAGACCUUGAAUACAUCCUGUUCCCGUCAUCAGUCAGCUCAAGAGCAGUCUCAGUAAUACCAAAUCUCAUGGAAGAAAUCACAAGUCCUGAUUUUGAAGUCAAAUUAACUCUGACUCAUAAUCUCCUGAUAGAGAGAUCAAAUCUUGGGAUCUUUUCUUCUGGCCCUUGUAGAGUACCAAGCUGAGUUUGUCUCAGGAUUUUUGACACAGUGGGGUUGGCAAUACUGCAGUCUCCUUUCCCACAAUGCAGUGGGAGAGCUCCUACAGCCAGAAGAAUUGGAACAGGUAUCAGAUAGUGCUGGAAAUGUGAAUGUAGCACUGCCAAGCACAUGAGCUGCCAGGGCUCCAUGGGAAUCCAGCUUCUCCAGCUGCCUUCGUGCCUCCAAGGUUCUUUGGGUGCCUCCAGAUGCUUAAUAAACAGCCCAUGGAAGAAUGACCUUGCCACAGAAAAAGAGGCUGAACAGCUCACAGAAGCCGUUUGUAGACAUGCUCACUAUUUUCUAAACCAUGUUAACUGAUUUGCAUCACACAGUUCAAAUUAAACGUCAUUUUGAA
Molecule: long non-coding RNA, 758 nt
Organism: Gavialis gangeticus (Gharial)
Lineage: Eukaryota; Metazoa; Chordata; Crocodylia; Gavialidae
Exons: 2
Source: RefSeq, a predicted model, not a curated record